CAAACAACCGGACCGUCAGUCUACCGAGUAAUAACACCCGUUUGGUGGAAAAUGUUCCUUUCGUUAU
This 67-nucleotide microRNA precursor is filed under the name Bombyx mori (domestic silkworm). RNAcentral describes it as "mir-2774 microRNA precursor family". It matches the Rfam family "mir-2774 microRNA precursor family". Lineage: Eukaryota; Metazoa; Arthropoda; Insecta; Lepidoptera; Bombycidae. The record is from Rfam by way of RNAcentral.